This is a long non-coding RNA of Drosophila ananassae, 3883 nucleotides long. RefSeq lists it as uncharacterized. The transcript is spliced from 2 exons. The record is from RefSeq and is a predicted model, not a curated record. NCBI's taxonomy places the organism in Eukaryota, Metazoa, Arthropoda, Insecta, Diptera, Drosophilidae.
AUUGUGAAACCUAAAACCAGCCACAUAUGUACAUCUGUUUUUCCUACUUUCCCAUGAUAAGAGGGUAGUUUUUGUUGACUAGUGAGAUCCACCACCUUUUUGAGAACAAUGGAGAAAACUGGAAACGUCACGUAGCUUCCAACGUAUCGUGUACUCGCUCACCCCCAUUGAUGUAAAAUGUUCGGGAGACUGGCAGAUGUUUCCCGAAGCAGGCGGGUAUUCUCGUUUCAGGUAUAAAUAGGGCUCGUUUUGCCACAGCACGUCACUCUCGAAAAAUAAGUGUUCAAGUGCAGACGUAGUGUAGCUGAAAAAAGUUAAAAAUAGUACAAGAAAUUUUCCAUAAUUCCUGGCCAGAAAUAAGUUAUUAGUACAAACAAAAAUGUAUCAAAAGUGUGAUAAUCGUGUUGCGGAAGCUGAGAAGCGGAAGCAGAUUGGCACAGUGGCCGAGGGUCCCACGUAGUAUUUCUCCACGUUCAUCGACGUUUGGAAACAAAGAAACCAGUCCCCCAGUGGAAAAAUCAGGCGAAUUAGUCAUCGAUUUUGCUCGUCAGCGUCGAGGAGUUUCACAAUGUGAAAAAGGCAGUUUUGCAGUCUCUCGAGGUUGGCUAGGCAGAUCCAGGAUGUCCAGGACCACGACAAUCUCCCCCCUAAGUCGCAUGGCGAUGGCCCUGACCUACGGUGUUCGAGGAUUUGAAGUGUUGGGAUAGGAAGGAAGCCAGGUACACACAGCAGCGAGUCCAGCCAGAUAUUUUUUUUUCACUGCAUCACUAAAUUCUUGGGCGUUGAAUGUUGAUACGCGAACGCGUACACGCGAUCGAUCUCAAGUACCCUGCGCGAGCAUGGCAUAUGGCAAUGUGGGUGGCUACAAUGCACCUAGCCAGCCGUCUAUGCAGCGUUUGGUGAAAGUUGUGCCCACGACCGUGACAGCGAUAUAUAUAAUGUAAAAAUAUAUUUCGAUGGUCGUGGGUUGCAUAUCGACCCAGGGUCCCUCGAAUAAGUGGGAUUGAUUUUGCGGAUUGUGUUAUAUAGGAACACUGCUGUAUCGACUUCUCUGCUCCACUAAGGGUGAACCGUAAUGUCAUCGAUCGAGUACUAAUAGCGGGCAGACAAUCAUAUCUCUAUGAUCCAACUACAAUCGGUCUCGACCUUGGCAGCCUAUUGAUCCUAUUCAGUCACAGCGUCUCUGGAGUAGUCGCAAGCGUCAAAACCAAACUAGAAUUGUAUUAGUUGGUUUCUAUAAACUUAUUAACUCUAUUCUAAAUAUUCUGUUGUAAAAUGAAAUAUGGAAUUUAUUUCCUCACCAACAAAGUGUUCAUAUCUUUAAAGCAAUUUGUUUUUGUUCUUAAAUAUCGUAAACUGUUUACAAUUUUUUUUGGUUUUUUUAAAAUCUUAAGAAAUGUACUUGUGUAAAUUUGUUUAAAAAAAAAAACAAAGCAAAAAAUGAAAAAAAUUAAUACCAAAAGAGCUUCUGAAUAGAAAAAGCCACAAGAAAAAGUGAAUAAAAAAAUUCAAAAAAUAGAAACAAAUAAAUUUCGAAACAUCUGCUCGUCAAAUUUUUUUAUUUCAAGCUCAGAUUCGAUUUCAGUUAGAUCAUCAUUUUUUUACAUAGCGUUACCACAUUAGCUCAUGGAAGAAGAUCCUUUAUAUGACCGUGUACACCUCAAUCGACAUCGACGAUCUCUAUAAGAAAAUGAAAAAUUCUACCAACGUCUACUUAAUGAGGAAGGGCCUUUGAUCUCUAUCUAUGCUGAAUUAUGAAAAGUUUGUAUGGGAUGAUCUAUUAAGAAUUAAUUCCUGCCAAAAAGUAUGUAUAUAUUUUAUGUUUUCAUAAAUUCCAAAUAGAAUGGAACAAACUGCAUUCAUGAAUAUAAAAAAAAUCAAAUAAAUACAAUAUAAAGAAAUAAUGGUACCAAAUAUAACUAUAAAAUACUCAAUGAUAAAAAUCUUAUAAUGAAACCUCAAAAAAAAUUAACAAUAACUACAAAUCUAGUCUUAAGUAUGAUAAACUAUCAAAGAAAAAUAUUUACUAAUUCAAUAAUAUUCAAUUUCUAGGUAGAACAUGGUUUUAGGUAGGGUUUACUGAAAAACAGGUAGGAUUUAAAUGUUAAAAUUCUCUGCAAUUAUGAACCUACACUACGUUUUUAAGUCUUUAGGUAGGUCUGAAAAAUGUAUUCCGGUAUGACUAUAUAAGACUACGAUCGAAAAUAUGAAUUUUUGCGUAAUUAGGUAGGUUGUGAAACUGUAAAACAUAAGUGAACUUAUUUCAUUCCUCUCACUUUUAUAUUUUAUAGGAAGGUACAUAUAAAAUACACUUUUUAAACAAAACUCUAAACACAAACAAAAGAGGAUAGGUUAUGAUACAAAUAUGCAUAAAGUGUGACAAUGAAAUAAAACAAUGGUAUUUCGAAAAUCCAGUAAUGGUUAAAUAUUGAUUCUCCAAUUCUAUUCUUGGUAAAUACCGUAGGUAGGAAAGUUUAAAAUUUGGUAUUCUACUUUUAGGCAGGGUUCUGAAUUUCUCUUGAAAAUAAAAACUUCUUAGGUAGGGAUCUCUAAAAUGCUUCAAUCGUAUAAAAAUAAGAUCUUUAACAUCUUAAAAUAUAACAUCUUUUUAGGAAGGGUUUUAUUUGUACGUUUUUAGGUAGGGUUCUCUUAACUUCAACCACCACAAAUAUUUGUUUGCGCCGAUUUAAUCGUAUAAUUUUUUUAGGUAGGAAUUUUAUUUGUAUUCUCUUUUUCCUUUAGUUCAAGGAAGGUUAAAUGAGAAACAACUACUAAUAAUCUUUAGGCUUAUUUAAUCCGUAUACUUUUUAGGUAGGGGUUUGUUUAUAUACAAGUCUAGAAAAUGCUCUGCAAAAUCCUUUUCUAAGAUUUAAAUCGUCUAUUUAGGUAGGAUACUAAUAAUCCUGUAUUUCUGCAAGUUUAAGGCGAGUCCCCAAAAUUUCUCUACAAUGUCAUAUUAUUCACGAGAAUUUCAAUGGUAUAGUUUUUAAGUGUUGUACAAUAAUUACUUCGUUUUUAAAUAAUUUUAACGUUAAGGUUGGUUAUCAAAAAUAUAUAUUUUCUUUGUUUCAAAAAUGUUUAGGUAGGGAUUCUUAAAGCCUAAGUUUCAACAACUAUUAAUUAUUUUUACGCGUAUCUAAGCCGUUCCAUUUUUAGGUAGGGUUUUGUUUAUAAACCAGUCUACAAAAUCCUUCUCUUUUCGAUGAUUUAAAUCGUCUUGUUCUUACGUAGGGUUUUACUUUUACUCUGUAUUUCUACAUGUUUCAGGUACGGUUUCCCAACAAGUUAGCAAAAUGUCUUUAAAUAUUUUUCGAAUUCAAAUUCUUCUUAGGUAGGUUUUCUCAACGGUGAUUUAAAUGAAUGUCUUUUUAAAUGGUACAAGAUUUGUUCUGUAUUUUUACAUGUUUUAGGUUGGUUAUUAUAAAUAUACCUAAUUUCCCCAAGGUUUAGGUAGGGAUUUUUUAAAAUUUAUCAACUUAAAAUAUAUCUUUACGCUUUUCAAGUCGUAUCCUUUUAAGGUUACUUAUACAAGUUUUCUUCCAAAUGCUUUUAUAUGCGAUAAAUUAAACCGUCCAUUUAGGUUGGGUAUUACACAUAGUUUUUCUCCAACAUCCAAAAAAUAAAAGUCAAACUAUCUACUACGGCUCUUCAAUGUACUCGUUUUGAUUAGGUUUAUGACAAUUUUUGUUUGCAUUUUGUAAAUAGGGCUUAAAAAAUCUCUUAAAUGAGUUUGAUACCGCAACGGUUUCAUCGCAUUUGUAUAAUUAUUUGUAGGCUAUCAUAGUUGUAAUAAAAUCUUAAUUCUACACAUUUUUAAUGAAAAAUUGUGAUGUAGAAAAUCCCUAGCAUAGUGUCUCACCAUCUGUAAAAUCAUAUUAAGUUU